AUGGAUCCUAGGAGAAGAGCUACAUCAGAUGAUCCAGUUUCGAAGUAUGGGUUCUGGCCAGAUUUAGAGAGGAAAGAUUUACUCCAGUGUACAUUGUGUGGCAAGAUAGUCCAUGCUGGAGUGAGAAGGCUGAAGCAGCACCUUUCUGGGGGUUGUAGUGAUGCAGAUAUGUGUCCCGAGGCAUCUAUGGAGAUUAGGAUAGAGAUGCGCAAAACCUUAAACACUAGAAAGUUUAAAGCUAUGGAGCGAUAUAUUGAUGAGAAGGAUGAAGCUGAAGUUCAAAGGCGCCGUUCUGUCAUAUACAGAAGAUGA
Molecule: ribosomal RNA, 312 nt
Filed under: Triticum aestivum (bread wheat)
Lineage: Eukaryota; Viridiplantae; Streptophyta; Magnoliopsida; Poales; Poaceae
Description: partial small subunit ribosomal RNA
Source: RNAcentral